This 497-nucleotide ribosomal RNA is filed under the name uncultured bacterium. Its description in RNAcentral is "partial 16S ribosomal RNA". It matches the Rfam family "Bacterial small subunit ribosomal RNA", at positions 28 to 523 of the family's 1533-position model. The record is from RNAcentral.
GAUGAACGCUGGCGGCGUGCUUAACACAUGCAAGUCGAACGAAGCACUUUUAUUUGAUUUCUUCGGAAUGAAGAUUUUAGUGACUGAGUGGCGGACGGGUGAGUAACGCGUGGGUAACCUGCCUCAUACAGGGGGAUAACAGUUAGAAAUGACUGCUAAUACCGCAUAAGACCACAGUACCGCAUGGUAAAGGGGUAAAAACUCCGGUGGUAUGAGAUGGACCCGAGUCUGAUUAGGUAGUUGGUGGGGUAACGGCCUACCAAGCCGACGAUCAGUAGCCGACCUGAGAGGGUGACCGGCCACAUUGGGACUGAGACACGGCCCAAACUCCUACGGGAGGCAGCAGUGGGGAAUAUUGCACAAUGGGGGAAACCCUGAUGCAGCGACGCCGCGUGAGCGAUGAAGUAUUUCGGUAUGUAAAGCUCUAUCAGCAGGGAAGAAAAUGACGGUACCUGACUAAGAAGCACCGGCUAAAUACGUGCCAGCCGCCGCGGUAA